UAUUUGGUAGAAACAAAAUUAAAAAUUCAAACUUUCCUUUGGUCUCCCAAUGUCACUCAGAUUACUCUCUUCAAAAACAAAAAGAAGAUAAAAAGAAAAAAGCUUCAUUUUAGGUAGAUCUCCACACACCAACAAUAGAUUCAUUUUCUUCUUCUCAUAACCUCACUACAAUCUACCAUCUUCACAUGUCUUUUUUCACUCUCAUUAAUUUAUCUCCUUCUAAUUCUCUUCAUCUCAUAAUUACUCAUGGAAACACUACUAUACAAAAAUGACUAAAAAACACUACAUCCAUUUUUUUUCCUGCAACUUAUUUUCUCUCACACUCACCAUUCUCUUUUAAAUCAUUAUAACAUCAUUUCCUUCACCAUACUCACACUUCUUUCACCAUCAAAGAACCAUAACUUCACAAAAUAAAUAAAUCAUAUCUAUUCACACUAACCAUAUACAUAUAUACAUUCUGAUUUUUAAUCUAUUU
This 475-nucleotide long non-coding RNA is filed under the name Lathyrus oleraceus (garden pea). RNAcentral describes it as "Pisum sativum (pea) long non-coding RNA (PSAT_LNC011068)". The record is from RNAcentral. Lineage: Eukaryota; Viridiplantae; Streptophyta; Magnoliopsida; Fabales; Fabaceae.